RNAcentral lists this ribosomal RNA (274 nucleotides) under uncultured bacterium. RNAcentral's name for it is "partial 16S ribosomal RNA". It matches the Rfam family "Archaeal small subunit ribosomal RNA", at positions 473 to 747 of the family's 1478-position model. The record is from RNAcentral.
AUACCAGCCCCGCGAGCGGUCGGGGUGCUUACUGGGCCUAAAGCGCCCGUAGCCGGCUCGGCAAGUCCCCUCCUAAAGCCCCGGGCUCAACCCGGGGAGUGGGGGAGAUACUGCCGGGCUAGGGGGCGGGAGAGGCCGAGGGUACUCCCGGGGUAGGGGCGAAAUCCUAUAAUCCCGGGAGGACCACCAGUGGCGAAGGCGCUCGGCUGGAACGCGCCCGACGGUGAGGGGCGAAAGCCGGGGGAGCGAACCGGAUUAGAUACCCGAGUAGUCC